GACCUGUCCCUUCGAACCUCAACGUUCUUACCAAUGUCAGUGAGUUGUUUUUGUCCAACAAUGGAUUGACUGGACCUCUUCCCAACCUCACUGGGAUGAGUUUUCUCAAUUAUCUGGACAUAAGCAAUAAUAGUUUUGAUGCAUCAGAUUUUCCUCCUUGGAUUUCUACAUUACAGUCUUUGACAACAUUAAUGAUGGAAGGGACACAACUUCAAGGACAAAUUCCGCCUAGCUUCUUUAGCCUUGCCAAUUUACAGACUGUGGUGCUAAGUAACAACAGACUCAAUGGCACUUUAGAUAUUGGAACAAUCAAUAGUGACCAACUACAGCUCAUUGAUUUGCAAACCAAUUCCAUUUCUGAUUAUACUCCAAAACCUGGACAAAAGCAAGUUGAUAUAAUACUUGUGAACAACCCAGUUUGUCAGGAAACUGGAGUAAUAGCAAGUUACUGCACUGUUUCCAGGCCUAAUUCUUCUUAUGUGACACUCCCAAAUAAUUGUGUGCCUAUUCCCUGUCGUUCAAAUCAGAUUUCUAGUCCCAACUGUAAUUGUGCAUAUGCAUACACAGGACUUUUAGUUUUCAGAGCUCCUUCAUUCUCAGACUUGGGAAACAUAACCAUUUACAUUUCUCUCCAGCGGAGUCUAAUGGAUUCUUUUAGGUCCAAUCAACUUCCUGUGGAUUCGGUAUCUCUAAGUAAUCCAAGAAAGGAUUUGUCUGAGUACUUGGAUUUAAAUCUUCAAGUCUUUCCAUUUGACCGAGAUUAUUUCAAUCAAACAAUUAUUUCUCAGAUUGGGUUUGUGUUGAGCAACCAGACUUUCAAGCCUCCAAAAUUCUUUGGACCGUACUAUUUUAUUGGAGAUGUUUAUCACUAUUUUGCUGGAGAAGCUACAAGAUCAAACAACUCAUCAAACACUGGUAUUAUCAUUGGAGCUGUUGCUGGAGGUUCCGCCCUCCUACUAUUAUUGGUCCUUGCAGGGCUUUAUGCUUACCGACAAAAGAAGAGAGCAGAAAGAGCAACUGAAUGGAAUAAUCCUUUUGCACACUGGGAUUCAACUAAGAGCAGUGGAGCUGGUUUUCCUCAAUUAAAAGGAGCCAGAUUCUUUUCUUUUGAGGAGCUUAAAAAAUACACCAAUAAUUUUUCAGAAGCAAAUGAUAUUGGAUCUGGGGGUUAUGGAAAGGUAUACAGAGGAGUCCUUCCCAAUGGGCAAUUGAUUGCCAUAAAACGAGCACAACAAGAAUCAUUGCAGGGUGCGCUAGAAUUCAAAACUGAGAUUGAACUUCUGUCAAGAGUGCAUCAUAAAAAUGUUGUUAGCCUUUUGGGAUUUUGUUUUGAGCGAGGUGAACAAAUGCUCAUUUAUGAGUUUGUGCCAAAUGGGAGUCUCAAUGAGAGUCUGUCAGGGAAGUCAGGAAUCAGGUUGGAUUGGGUUAGGAGACUUAAAAUAGCCCUUGGUGCAGCAAGAGGUCUGGCAUAUCUGCAUGAGCUUGCAAACCCUCCAAUUAUCCAUAGGGACAUAAAGACAACCAACAUACUACUGGAUGAUCGCUUAAAUGCGAAAGUUGCUGAUUUUGGCCUUUCCAAGCCUAUGAGUGACACUGAAAAGGGUCACAUUACCACUCAAGUCAAAGGGACAAUGGGCUAUUUGGAUCCAGAAUAUUACAUGACUCAGCAGUUAACUGAGAAGAGUGAUGUUUAUAGCUUGCAGUUAGUAGCUCCAGCAUCACAACCAAGAAAGCCAAUAGAACGCGGAAAAUACAUAGUGAGAGAGGUGAGGAUGGCGAUGGAUAGAACAAAAGAUUUAUAUAACCUCCAUGAACUUCUUGACCCAAGCAUUGGUCUACAAACAACAUUAAAAGGUCUAGAUAAGUUUGUGGAUCUGGCAAUGGAAUGUGUAAAAGAGUCGGGAGCUGACAGGCCUAUAAUGGGGGAUGUGGUGAAAGAGAUAGAGAAUAUCUUGCAGCUUGCUGGUUUAAAUCCCAAUGCUGAAUCUGCAUCUACUUCGGCUAGUUACGAGGAAGCAGGCAAGGGAAGUCCUCGUCAUCCUUACAGCAAAGAUGCCUUUGAUUAUAGUGGGGCAUUUCCACCUUCAAAGCUAGAGCCUCAAUGAGCAUCAUUACAUCCGAAUUUUACAGUUACAGUUUGAUAAUGUUUUAAAAUCA
RNAcentral lists this unclassified non-coding RNA (2157 nucleotides) under Hevea brasiliensis (rubber tree). Lineage: Eukaryota; Viridiplantae; Streptophyta; Magnoliopsida; Malpighiales; Euphorbiaceae. The record is from RNAcentral.